CUUGGCCUGAAAUCAGAUGGGAUACCCGCUGAACUUAA
This 38-nucleotide ribosomal RNA is filed under the name Cunninghamella elegans. Its description in RNAcentral is "partial 28S ribosomal RNA". Lineage: Eukaryota; Fungi; Mucoromycota; Mucoromycetes; Mucorales; Cunninghamellaceae. The record is from RNAcentral.